Molecule: long non-coding RNA, 341 nt
Organism: Gasterosteus aculeatus aculeatus (three-spined stickleback)
Lineage: Eukaryota; Metazoa; Chordata; Actinopteri; Perciformes; Gasterosteidae
Source: Ensembl
UGGAAACAAAUGUUACGGCACGUGAUGCUUUGUUGUGUUCUGCUGCCGUGGCAACAGCGAAGAUCACAAGGGGGGCGCCCCCACUCUGAAAUUCCUUCCCCCUCCCUGGAAAAGUGUGGAAUAAAAAACACGCACAGCAGUUCCACACUGAUACGUGCGUGAAUGUACGUGUGGCAGCACGGAGAACACGGGCGGACUGACCCGCGAUCCGUCUGUCCGACUCACAUCAGGUCACAUCAUGUCCAUCAGGGCAGCGGCGGGGGGCGGCUAGUUCCUGGAAGAGCCGGCCUGCCUGCGGAGUCACUCGCAUUCCUGGCUGGGAUUCAAUGACUGAGCCAGAC